UGUUACAUUUGGAUAGUCCCCUCUGCAAAUACAAGAAUCCAAGACAAAAGGCUGGCUCCUACCCAGGGGAAAAGUCAUCUGGCAACAUAGUCAGCUGGGAAGAAUCUGUGGUAACCUGAGGAAGCUGCUCGUGAAGUCAGAUGGGACUGAAAGGUUAUAAAAGGACAGGAGCUGCUCUACUCAGGGUCUUCACCCAUUUUCACCAGCUCAAGCUAAAGGGAGCUGCUGCAGGAGCCUGAUGAAGUGAUGGGAACCAUGCUUAUCUAAGGAUUCGCAAGGGAAGGAGCUUCUACCCUGAACCUUCUUCAGCUCCUUUCUGCCUGAAACCCUGCUACAAGUUUACAGAAACAGUUCACAUAAGGUCACAUAAUGGGGUGAAGCAAUCUCUAGCAGCUCCUAGGUCGGUGAAGAGAUUCUACCUCUUCCACCCACAAUGUAGAACUGUUUCUUAAAGGCAUAGUGUAGCCUUAUACUAAAUACAUAACUUUAAUUAAAGUAUUAGCAUUUCAAUUUGAUGGACUGUUGGCUAAUGAUAAUCAGUUAACACUCUGAGUUUAUAUGAAAUGAAAACUAAGAAGAUGAAGAUACUGAGAUGCAGAAUAGAAAGGAAGUAAAAUGAGAAUAAAACAGAGUAAGGGAUGUAGAGAAAACACCAGCUAAAGAUCCAGUAGCCUGGGAGGAAUGGUCCAUUGGGACUCUGGUAAUUGAGCCCAGGCACGCUAGGUCCUAAUGCUGCCACCUUAGCUACUAUACCAGAGCAAUGCCCUGACCUGGUACCCCCUGACCAACAGCCUUAGUGGUAAAGGCCUACAGGCUCACAACAGCCACACACCAGGCUCCUCAUUGGAUGGACAAGCAGCACUCUCAUUAGGUACCUGGACUAUCUAAAGACUCCAACAGGAAGAGGAAGCUGUCUGAGCAACAGACCAUUGCCUGCUGGUUGCUCCUCAGACUGCCUUGCCUUGCCUGACCCUAUCUUGCUGGCCUGACCCUGCCUUGCCUCCUCGUCCAAUCUCGCUUCCCUAACCCACUGACCCAGCCCCUUGGAUUGGUUCUUUCAUCUACUGACCCCUGUGAGAACCGUGACCAUUUCUCUGUACAGCUUCUGAUAUGGAUUGACGUACUAGCUACCCAACCAUCACACACACUUGACUACUGCUCUGGACUGCCGCCUAGCCCAUCUCAGACACCUGGGCAUUACAUGGUCCUACAAUAAAUUGUGAUUCUACAGGGAUAUUUAAGGUGUUGUCGGAGAAUAAUAAUGUCUGUUUUUCUUCUAUAAUUGUUUUAAAGAAGGUUAAUUAUUUAUUGCCAUAUGCAUUCAUUGUUCUACUUUUCUACAUGUUGUAAUGUGUGUACUUUGACUGUCCCGUAUUUUGCAUCCUGAUAUCACCUGAUGAAUCAAGCAUUUGGAAGGUCAUGGGAUAUAAGGAACACCUUUUAAAAUAAAAAUCAAUCAAAGGAA
Molecule: long non-coding RNA, 1465 nt
Organism: Malaclemys terrapin pileata
Lineage: Eukaryota; Metazoa; Chordata; Testudines; Emydidae
Exons: 2
Source: RefSeq, a predicted model, not a curated record